AUGGCUGUCGUCAGCUCGUGUUGUGAAAUGUUGGGUUAAGUCCCGCAACGAGCGCAACCCUUAUCCUUGUUUGCCAGCGAGUAAUGUCGGGAACUCCAGGGAGACUGCCGGUGAUAAACCGGAGGAAGGUGGGGACGACGUCAAGUCAUCAUGGCCCUUACGAGUAGGGCUACACACGUGCUACAAUGGCGCAUACAGAGGGCAGCAAGCUAGCGAUAGUGAGCGAAUCCCAAAAAGUGCGUCGUAGUCCGGAUUGGAGUCUGCAACUCGACUCCAUGAAGUCGGAAUCGCUAGUAAUCGUGGAUCAGAAUGCCACGGUGAAUACGUUCCCGGGCCUUGUACACACCGCCCGU
This 353-nucleotide ribosomal RNA is filed under the name Vibrio sp. RNAcentral describes it as "bacterial SSU rRNA". It matches the Rfam family "Bacterial small subunit ribosomal RNA", at positions 1045 to 1397 of the family's 1533-position model. Lineage: Bacteria; Pseudomonadati; Pseudomonadota; Gammaproteobacteria; Vibrionales; Vibrionaceae. The record is from RNAcentral.